CGACUCCGAAGGUAAUCGUCUGGACACAAGCAAAGCGCCCUGGGGCUGCGCUCCGACCUCAAAACCCCUCCCGAAAGAAGCCCCCGCCUUUUUUCCCAGCUCGCCCACCUCCCUGCCGGCCCCUCUCGGGCCGCGCCACUCCGGCAACUUCUGCAGCCAGCCCGCCCGCCGCCCGCGACCCCCUCCCGGCCCAGCGAGCCCUCCGCGCCCUCCCCCCCGCGGCGGCGGCCCCCGCGCCGCCCGCGCCUCCGCGCCGCCCGCGCGGGUCCUCGCCCCCUUCCCCCGAGGCCCCCGCCCGCGGCACCGCCCCCGCCGCACCCCACCCAGCCCGGGACCCCAGCCCACCCGGCCCCACCCGGGAAGGAGGGAGCCGCGGCCGCGCCGGGGCCCGCGAGCGCCAACACGGAGAGGGCUUUACCUCAGAGGCGCGGCCGCGAGCAGCGGGGUCGGUCCCGGGCGCGGGCGGCGCCCCCCGGUCCGUCAGUCAGCGGCGGCGGGGGCAGCGGCGGCGACGGCACAUCACACCCGCCGGGGCCGGAGGAGGAAAGCGAGCCGCGCAGGGAGGGAGCGAGCGAGAGAGCGAGGUAGGGGGGAAGGAACGAGCGAGGGAGGGAACGCCGCUCGGCUCGGACUCGGUCCCUGCACUACUGCCGGUGCCUCCUACCGCCGCCUCUGGCCGGAGAGUCGCCGCCCGAGUCGCUGCUGUCGCCACCGAUGCAGCCGGGAAUGAAUGCACAGCGGCGCCUCACUUAUCCGGAGGUCAAACAUCCUUCUGCCUCGGGCAUCCGGAUCGGCGCCGGACCCGGAAGUGAACACAUGGAAAAAAAAUAAAAAAGGAAAGCGUCUCUCUAGCGGCGGCUGCCCCGGAGCUGCCCGCAUCGACGAAAAGAGCCGAGUAGAGCCGAACAUUACACUGACGUGCUCGGAUUGGUCGGCUUGCUGACCGGAAGAAAGGCAGCACGCUGAUUGGCUGGCAAGGUGCUGCCUUUGUCUGGUUUUGGUAUCAGAGAAAUACUGGCCUCAUAAAAUAAGUUGAGAAUUGUCCUCUCCUCUUCUGUUAUCUGGAAGAGAUUGUGUAAAAUUGGUAUUAAUUCAUCUUUAAAAGAGUUGUACUUAGCAGGGAGAAGCAGGGAAAAACAAGUCUACACCAUCUUGUCCUGCUUGGAAGUGACUUUCACUUUUCACAGAUGCACAAGGACUCACUCAGUUCCAAAAGGUCUUGAAUUACUUGAAUUCUGUAUAAGCAGACAAGGAUUUAACAUGAAGAUGAGAAAGAAGAGGAGACAGAACCAUUCAUCAUUGACUUGAUCUCAACCUGAUACAGCACAAAUGGACAAAGAGGAAAAGCAAACCAACAACAUGAAACAGGGAACAAAGUUCUUUUCUUUGUAAUAGCUGCUGGCCAGCUUGUCUUUUCUUGAUAUUUACCUCUCUGCUUUAUGUUUUAUAUCUAACAUUGUGUUACAUGGAUUGCGAAAACUUUGUGAAACUUGGAGAGCAACUGUAGAGUUCAAUCAAACAGUUGAUUCAAAAAGAAGUUUGGCUCAAACUGUUGGGCAAGCACAGAACAUUAUAUCAUUCACCAGCUGUAGAUUAAAUGAGACAUCAGGAUGGUGAUUAGCAAUAACCUGUGUUUGUUCCUUAUUACCUUAUCUUCCUUCUUUUCUUUUCAGUCAUCAUUUGUGUGCAUUACCCACGUGGCUUCCUUAAGAAGCGUUACAUGAGUAUUAUUUCGUACCCUGAAGAGAAACUAUUUUGAUUCCAUAUACUUAUUAUUGAUCAAAUUCCACCAGUGAAAGUGAAAAAUACUAUUUAUUGAAACUCCUUAUUGAAAUUUCAUUUAAA
Long non-coding RNA from Equus asinus (donkey), 1845 nucleotides. The record is from Ensembl. NCBI's taxonomy places the organism in Eukaryota, Metazoa, Chordata, Mammalia, Perissodactyla, Equidae.